This 496-nucleotide ribosomal RNA is filed under the name uncultured bacterium. RNAcentral describes it as "partial 16S ribosomal RNA". It matches the Rfam family "Bacterial small subunit ribosomal RNA", at positions 29 to 507 of the family's 1533-position model. The record is from RNAcentral.
AACGGACGCUGGCGGCGCGUCUUACGCAUGCAAGUCGAACGGCAAGAGAGGAGCUUGCUUCUCUCCUAGAGUGGCGGACUGGUGAGGAACACGUGGGUAAUCUACCCUUAAGAUGGGGAUAGCUGCUAGAAAUAGCAGGUAAUACCGAAUACACUCGGCAUAUCACAAGAGGUGUUGAGGAAAGGAAGCUACGGCUUCGCUUGAGGAUGAGCUUGCGUCCCAUUAGCUAGUUGGUGAGGUAAAGGCCCACCAAGGCGACGAUGGGUAUCCGGCCUGAGAGGGUGAACGGACACAUUGGGACUGAGAUACGGCCCAAACUCCUACGGGAGGCAGCAGCUAAGAAUAUUCCGCAAUGGACGGAAGUCUGACGGAGCGACGCCGCGUGGAUGAAGAAGGCUGAAAAGUUGUAAAAUCCUUUUGUUGAUGAAGAAUAAGGGUGAGAGGGAAUGCUCAUCUGAUGACGGUAAUCGACGAAUAAGCCCCGGCUAAUUACGUG